AAAGGUAAGCUACUAAGAGCGAAUGGUGGAUGCCUUGACUGGUAAAGGCGAUGAAGGACGUACUAGACUGCGAUAAGCUACGGGGAGCUGUCAAGAAGCUUUGAUCCGUAGAUUUCCGAAUGGGGCAACCCAAUGUAUAGAGAUAUACAUUACCUAUAUAGGAGCGAACGAGGGGAAUUGAAACAUCUUAGUACUCUCAGGAAAAGAAAUCAAUAGAGAUUGCGUCAGUAGCGGCGAGCGAAAGCGCAAGAGGGCAAACCCAGUGCUUGCACUGGGGGUUGUAGGACUGCAAUGUGCAAGAG
This 302-nucleotide ribosomal RNA is filed under the name Campylobacter jejuni. RNAcentral's name for it is "bacterial LSU rRNA". It matches the Rfam family "Bacterial large subunit ribosomal RNA", at positions 1 to 321 of the family's 2925-position model. Lineage: Bacteria; Pseudomonadati; Campylobacterota; Epsilonproteobacteria; Campylobacterales; Campylobacteraceae. The record is from RNAcentral.